GGAUAUGAGGGUUAUCUGGCUGCAACAUCUGUCACCCCACUGAUCGCCAGGGUUGUUUUGGCUGAUAUGGCUGGCUAGGCGGGUGUCCCUUUCCUCCCUCACUGCUCCAUGUGCGUCCCUCCCAAAGCUGCGAGCUCGGUGGAAGAGGACGACAUCCCAGGUAUAGAAGGAGUGUAUUAUUUAUUUAU
RNAcentral lists this small nuclear RNA (188 nucleotides) under Anolis carolinensis (green anole). Its description in RNAcentral is "7SK RNA". It matches the Rfam family "7SK RNA", at positions 1 to 187 of the family's 331-position model. Rfam says of the family: 7SK was discovered as an abundant small nuclear RNA in the mid-70s but a possible function has only recently been suggested. Two independent studies have found that 7SK RNA binds the CDK9/cyclin T complex (known as elongation factor P-TEFb). P-TEFb activates transcription by phosphorylating the C-terminal domain of RNA polymerase II. Lineage: Eukaryota; Metazoa; Chordata; Lepidosauria; Squamata; Anolidae. The record is from Rfam by way of RNAcentral.